UACGAGGGGAGCAAGCGUUGUUCGGAUUUACUGGGCGUAAAGGGCGCGUAGGCGGUCGUGACAAGUCACUUGUGAAAUCUCCGGGCUUAACUCGGAACGGUCAAGUGAUACUGUCGGACUAGAGUACAGAAGGGGCAACUGGAAUUCUACGGUGUAGCGGUGAAAUGCGUAGAUAUCGAGAGGAACACCUGCGGCGAAGGCGGGUUGCUGGGCUGAUAACUGA
This 223-nucleotide ribosomal RNA is filed under the name uncultured bacterium. Its description in RNAcentral is "partial 16S ribosomal RNA". It matches the Rfam family "Bacterial small subunit ribosomal RNA", at positions 524 to 743 of the family's 1533-position model. The record is from RNAcentral.